AUUGAACGCUGGCGGCAUGCCUUACACAUGCAAGUCGAACGGCAGCACGGGAGCAAUCCUGGUGGCGAGUGGCGAACGGGUGAGUAAUGUAUCGGAACGUGCCCAGUCAUGGGGGAUAACGCAGCGAAAGCUGUGCUAAUACCGCAUACGAUCUAUGGAUGAAAGCGGGGGACCGUAAGGCCUCGCGCGAUUGGAGCGGCCGAUAUCAGAUUAGGUAGUUGGUGGGGUAAAGGCCCACCAAGCCGACGAUCUGUAGCUGGUCUGAGAGGACGAACAGCCACACUGGAACUGAGACACGGUCCAGACUCCUACGGGAGGCAGCAGUGGGGAAUUUUGGACAAUGGGCGCAAGCCUGAUCCAGCAAUGCCGCGUGCAGGAUGAAGGCCUUCGGGUUGUAAACUGCUUUUGUACGGAACGAAACGCUCCUUUCUAAUACAAGGGGGUAAUGACGGUACCUACAGAAUAAGCUCCGGCUAACUUCGUGCCAGCCGCCGCAGUAA
This 500-nucleotide ribosomal RNA is filed under the name uncultured bacterium. Its description in RNAcentral is "partial 16S ribosomal RNA". It matches the Rfam family "Bacterial small subunit ribosomal RNA", at positions 30 to 523 of the family's 1533-position model. The record is from RNAcentral.